GACGAACGCUGGCGGCGUGCUUAACACAUGCCAGUCGAACGGAAAGGCCCUGCUUUUGUGGGGUGCUCGAGUGGCGAACGGGUGAGUAACACGUGAGUAACCUGCCCUUGACUUUGGGAUAACUUCAGGAAACUGGGGCUAAUACCGGAUAGGAGCUCCUGCUGCAUGGUGGGGGUUGGAAAGUUUCGGCGGUUGGGGAUGGACUCGCGGCUUAUCAGCUUGUUGGUGGGGUAGUGGCUUACCAAGGCUUUGACGGGUAGCCGGCCUGAGAGGGUGACCGGCCACAUUGGGACUGAGAUACGGCCCAGACUCCUACGGGAGGCAGCAGUGGGGAAUAUUGCACAAUGGGCGGAAGCCUGAUGCAGCAACGCCGCGUGCGGGAUGACGGCCUUCGGGUUGUAAACCGCUUUCGCCUGUGACGAAGCGUAAGUGACGGUAAUGGGUAAAGAAGCACCGGCUAACUACGUG
RNAcentral lists this ribosomal RNA (468 nucleotides) under uncultured bacterium. RNAcentral describes it as "partial 16S ribosomal RNA". It matches the Rfam family "Bacterial small subunit ribosomal RNA", at positions 28 to 507 of the family's 1533-position model. The record is from RNAcentral.